CGUUGAAACACCGGUUUCCGUACGAUCACCGAAGUUGAGCAACGUUGAGAUUGGACAGUACCUAAAUGGGUGACCGUUUGGAGAUCCCAGGUGUUGUAAG
This 100-nucleotide ribosomal RNA is filed under the name Acanthosepion pharaonis. Lineage: Eukaryota; Metazoa; Mollusca; Cephalopoda; Sepiida; Sepiidae. The record is from RNAcentral.